This 608-nucleotide ribosomal RNA is filed under the name uncultured fungus. RNAcentral describes it as "eukaryotic LSU rRNA". It matches the Rfam family "Eukaryotic large subunit ribosomal RNA", at positions 38 to 667 of the family's 3401-position model. The record is from RNAcentral. Lineage: Eukaryota; Fungi.
GCAUAUCAAUAAGCGGAGGAAAAGAAACCAACAGGGAUUGCUCUAGUGACGGCGAGUGAAGCAGCAAUAGCUCAAAUUUGAAAUCUGGCGUCUUCGACGUCCGAGUUGUAAUUUGUAGAGGAUGCUUCCGAGUGGCCACCGACCUAAGUUCCUUGGAACAGGACGUCAUAGAGGGUGAGAAUCCCGUAUGCGGUCGGAAAGGCGCUCUAUACGUAGCUCCUUCGACGAGUCGAGUUGUUUGGGAAUGCAGCUCUAAAUGGGAGGUAAAUUUCUUCUAAAGCUAAAUAUUGGCCAGAGACCGAUAGCGCACAAGUAGAGUGAUCGAAAGAUGAAAAGCACUUUGGAAAGAGAGUUAAAAAGCACGUGAAAUUGUUAAAAGGGAAGGGAUUGCAACCAGACUUGCUCGCGGUGUUCUGCCGGUCUUCUGACCGGUCUACUCGCCGCGUUGCAGGCCAGCAUCGUCUGGUGCCGCUGGAUAAGACUUGAGGAAUGUAGCUCCCUCGGGAGUGUUAUAGCCUCUUGUGAUGCAGCGAGCGCCGGGCGAGGUCCGCGCUUCGGCUAGGAUGCUGGCGUAAUGGUCGUAAUCCGCCCGUCUUGAAACACGGACC